ACAGCUCGAAAGCCGCGAGGCUCACUCCGCACAGGAUGCCCUAGCGCGUCCACGCUCGUGAGCGGGCUAAGGUCUGAGCAUUCUAGUCUCCCUCGAUUGACUCUAGCAGAGUCCAGCGGUAACCCGCUGCGCGACGCACCAGAAAACCAGCUCGACAAUCCUUCGUCCCCAAGAUCUUCGGCGACGGAGGGAGGGCACGGACUGUUGGGCUUUGAAAGCGUCGCGGAGGCCGGGUGGGUGUACAUCUUCGACGAAUGUCCUGCGUUUUCCCGCUCUCUAUCGCGCCCAGGUACCAUCGUGUGCCGCGGCGGUCACCUCGACCCAAGGAGACCGUCGUUCACGUCAGAAGAGCCUCACCCUCGGGUCCAGAGUUAACGGAAGAGGUUCGUGCGCACGCGUAACGUUAAUAAAUCGCGUCGUCAAAAAAGAAAGCGCACAGGGCGUGACUGUAAAUCCGAACAUCGGUGAGCCCCCGUUGAACCCCAGUACUUCUCCUAUGGGUGAGGUCUCGUCUCGCAUUUGCGCCUCUUUAUGUGCAGCAGGCGAGACGGCGUACGAGGGGAGUGCGAAGCGUUUGGGCGCGUCGACAGGUACCCUGCCCUUCAGUUCACUUCGCGGCUCAUCAUGUUUUCCUUCGUGGAAGACGAUGAAACUCGAUUCAGACUACUCUUGGGCUGU
RNAcentral lists this RNase P RNA (678 nucleotides) under Gloeophyllum trabeum ATCC 11539. RNAcentral's name for it is "Nuclear RNase P". It matches the Rfam family "Nuclear RNase P". From Rfam's summary of the family: Ribonuclease P (RNase P) is a ubiquitous endoribonuclease, found in archaea, bacteria and eukarya as well as chloroplasts and mitochondria. Its best characterised activity is the generation of mature 5'-ends of tRNAs by cleaving the 5'-leader elements of precursor-tRNAs. The record is from Rfam by way of RNAcentral. Lineage: Eukaryota; Fungi; Basidiomycota; Agaricomycetes; Gloeophyllales; Gloeophyllaceae.